GAUGAACGCUAGCGGCAGGCCUAACACAUGCAAGUCGAGGGGUAGAAGGAGCUUGCUCCUUUGAGACCGGCGCACGGGUGCGUAACGCGUAUGCAAUCUACCUUGUACAGGGGAAUAGCCCAGAGAAAUUUGGAUUAAUGCCCCAUAGUAUAUAACCUUCGCAUGUUGGUUAUAUUAAAGUUCCAACGGUACAAGAUGAGCAUGCGUCCCAUUAGUUAGUUGGUAAGGUAACGGCUUACCAAGACGAUGAUGGGUAGGGGUCCUGAGAGGGAGAUCCCCCACACUGGUACUGGGACACGGGCCAGACUCCUACGGGAGGCAGCAGUGAGGAAUAUUGGUCAAUGGUCGCAAGACUGAACCAGCCAUGCCGCGUGCAGGAAGACGGUCCUAUGGAUUGUAAACUGCUUUUAUACAGGAAGAAACCCUCCCACGUGUGGGAGCUUGACGGUACUGUAGGAAUAAGGAUCGGCUAACUCCGUG
RNAcentral lists this ribosomal RNA (480 nucleotides) under uncultured bacterium. RNAcentral's name for it is "partial 16S ribosomal RNA". It matches the Rfam family "Bacterial small subunit ribosomal RNA", at positions 28 to 507 of the family's 1533-position model. The record is from RNAcentral.